GCCGACGUGGCACAACCUGGCACUGCGAUGGCCUUGAGAGCCAUUUUCCGCAAGGAUAUCCCAGUUCAAAUCUGGGCGUCGGCG
Molecule: transfer RNA, 84 nt
Filed under: Candidatus Woesearchaeota archaeon
Lineage: Archaea; Nanobdellati; Candidatus Woesearchaeota
Description: tRNA-Ser
Rfam family: tRNA
About the family: Transfer RNA (tRNA) molecules are approximately 80 nucleotides in length.
Source: RNAcentral